RNAcentral lists this ribosomal RNA (462 nucleotides) under bacterium AER12B. Its description in RNAcentral is "bacterial SSU rRNA". It matches the Rfam family "Bacterial small subunit ribosomal RNA", at positions 67 to 513 of the family's 1533-position model. The record is from RNAcentral.
AUGACGAAGAAGCUUGCUUCUUCUGAUUUAGCGGCGGACGGGUGAGUAACACGUGGGCAACCUGCCCUGUAGAUUGGGAUAACUCCGGGAAACCGGGGCUAAUACCGAAUAAUCCAUUUCCUCUCAUGGGGAGAUGUUAAAAGACGGUUUCGGCUGUCACUACAGGAUGGGCCCGCGGCGCAUUAGCUAGUUGGUGAGGUAACGGCUCACCAAGGCGACGAUGCGUAGCCGACCUGAGAGGGUGAUCGGCCACACUGGGACUGAGACACGGCCCAGACUCCUACGGGAGGCAGCAGUAGGGAAUCUUCCACAAUGGACGAAAGUCUGAUGGAGCAAUGCCGCGUGAGUGAAGAAGGUUUUCGGAUCGUAAAACUCUGUUGUGAGGGAAGAACAAGUACGAGAGUAACUGCUCGUACCUUGACGGUACCUCAUUAGAAAGCCACGGCUAACUACGUGCCAGCA